This 387-nucleotide ribosomal RNA is filed under the name uncultured soil bacterium. RNAcentral's name for it is "bacterial SSU rRNA". It matches the Rfam family "Bacterial small subunit ribosomal RNA", at positions 26 to 408 of the family's 1533-position model. The record is from RNAcentral.
AGAUUGAACGCUGGCGGCAUGCCUUACACAUGCAAGUCGAACGGCAGCACGGGAGCAAUCCUGGUGGCGAGUGGCGAACGGGUGAGUAAUACAUCGGAACGUGCCCAAUCGUGGGGGAUAACGCAGCGAAAGCUGUGCUAAUACCGCAUAAGAUCUACGGAUGAAAGCAGGGGAUCGCAAGACCUUGCGCGAAUGGAGCGGCCGAUGGCAGAUUAGGUAGUUGGUGAGGUAAAGGCUCACCAAGCCUUCGAUCUGUAGCUGGUCUGAGAGGACGACCAGCCACACGUGGGACUGAGACACGGCCCAGACUCCGUACGGGAGGCAGCAGGUGGGGAAUUUUGGACGUAAGUGGGACGAAGCCUAGAUCCAGCCAUGCCGCGUGCGAGG